GGAAGUAAAAGUCAUAACAAGGUUUCCGUAGGUGAACCUGCGGAAGGAUCAUUAUCGUACAAAAUGUGGGGGGCAUGCGAGGGCUGUCGCUGACCCAAAAGUCGUGCACGCCCGAGUGUGUCCUCUUGCAUAAUAAUCCAUCUCACCCUUUGUGCAUCACCGCGUGGGCACCCUUCGGGAUCAUCUCGGAGGGGGGCUCGCGUUUUCACACAAACUUUGUAUGCAGUGUAGAAUGUAUUUUUUGUUUUUGCGAUCACGCAAUCAAUACAACUUUCAACAACGGAUCUCUUGGCUCUC
Molecule: unclassified non-coding RNA, 297 nt
Filed under: plant metagenome
Description: partial contains small subunit ribosomal RNA, internal transcribed spacer 1, and 5.8S ribosomal RNA
Rfam family: Eukaryotic small subunit ribosomal RNA (bases 1-54)
Source: RNAcentral